AUUGAACGCUGGCGGCAGGCUUAACACAUGCAAGUCGAGCGGGGUGAUGGUGCUUGCACUAUCACUUAGCGGCGGACGGGUGAGUAAUGCUUAGGAAUCUGCCUAUUAGUGGGGGACAGCAUCUCGAAAGGGAUGCUAAUACCGCAUACGUCCUACGGGAGAAAGCAGGGGAUCACUUGUGACCUUGCGCUAAUAGAUGAGCCUAAGUCGGAUUAGCUAGUUGGUGGGGUAAAGGCCUACCAAGGCGACGAUCUGUAGCGGGUCUGAGAGGAUGAUCCGCCACACUGGGACUGAGACACGGCCCAGACUCCUACGGGAGGCAGCAGUGGGGAAUAUUGGACAAUGGGGGGAACCCUGAUCCAGCAAUGCCGCGUGUGUGAAGAAGGCCUGAGGGUUGUAAAGCACUUUCAGUGGGGAGGAGGGUUGAUAGGUUAAGAGCUAAUUAACUGGACGUUACCCACAGAAGAAGCACCGGCUAACUCCGUGCCAGCCGCCGCGGUAA
Molecule: ribosomal RNA, 502 nt
Filed under: uncultured bacterium
Lineage: Bacteria
Description: partial 16S ribosomal RNA
Rfam family: Bacterial small subunit ribosomal RNA
Source: RNAcentral